AUUGAACGCUGGCGGCAGGCUUAACACAUGCAAGUCGAGCGGGGGAAGGUAGCUUGCUACCGGACCUAGCGGCGGACGGGUGAGUAAUGCUUAGGAAUCUGCCUAUUAGUGGGGGACAACAUCUCGAAAGGGAUGCUAAUACCGCAUACGUCCUACGGGAGAAAGCAGGGGAUCUUCGGACCUUGCGCUAAUAGAUGAGCCUAAGUCGGAUUAGCUGGUUGGUGGGUUAAAGGCAUACCGAGGCGACGCUCUGUAGGGGGUCUGAGAGGAUGAUCCGCCACACUGGGACUGAGACACGGCCCAGACUCCUACGGGAGGCAGCAGUGGGGAAUAUUGGACAAUGGGGGGAACCCUGAUCCAGCCAUGCCGCGUGUGUGAAGAAGGCCUUAUGGUUGUAAAGCACUUUAAGCGAGGAGGAGGCUACUUUAGUUAAUACCUAGAGAUAGUGGACGUUACUCGCAGAAUAAGCACCCGCUAACUCUGUGCCAGCAGCCGCAGUAA
This 501-nucleotide ribosomal RNA is filed under the name uncultured bacterium. Its description in RNAcentral is "partial 16S ribosomal RNA". It matches the Rfam family "Bacterial small subunit ribosomal RNA", at positions 30 to 523 of the family's 1533-position model. The record is from RNAcentral.